Molecule: ribosomal RNA, 547 nt
Filed under: Lobophora obscura
Lineage: Eukaryota; Phaeophyceae; Dictyotales; Dictyotaceae
Description: partial 26S large subunit ribosomal RNA
Rfam family: Eukaryotic large subunit ribosomal RNA
Source: RNAcentral
CGGCGAGUGAAGUGGGAAGAGCUCAUGUUUGAAAUCCAGCUCCCCGCGGGGCUGGAGUUGUAACCUAGAGGAGCGUGAUCGCCUGCCGGCAGGGCCGCGGCCAAGUCCGAUUUGAAAAGGGUACCGAGGAGGGUGGCAGUCCCGUUCGUGCCGCAGUCCCGCCGGCGAUGUGGCCCGCUUCCAACGAGUCGAGUUGCUUGGGAUUGCAGCUCAAAGUGGGUGGUAAACUCCAUCCAAAGCUAAACACGGGUGGGAGACCGAUAGCGAACAAGUACCGUGAGGGAAAGAUGCAAAGAACUUUGAAAAGAGAGUCAAAGAGUGCCUGAAAUUGCUGAGAGGGAAGCGAAGGAAAGUAGUGUCAGUCGAGGGGACCUCGCACACUUGGGGAGCGACGUUCCGCGGCGUUCCCCAGGUUAUGUCCCCCGCGGUGUCAGGGGCGGGUGCGUUGCCGGAGGCGGCGGCCCAGGGUAUAGGUUCUCCGAGGUAAGAGCCGGAGGAAUGCUGCAACAUGGGAUCCGCGUCUUGGUCGCGGCCGUCCCUGACGAAA